Molecule: ribosomal RNA, 910 nt
Filed under: uncultured bacterium
Lineage: Bacteria
Description: bacterial SSU rRNA
Rfam family: Bacterial small subunit ribosomal RNA
Source: RNAcentral
ACGCUAGCUACAGGCUUACACAUGCAAGUCGAGGGGAAACGGCAUUAAGUGCUUGCACUUUUUGGACGUCGACCGGCGCACGGGUGAGUAACGCGUAUCCAACCUUCCCAUGACUAAGGGAUAACCUGCCGAAAGGCAGACUAAUACCUUAUGGUCUUCACUGACGGCAUCAGAUGUGAAGUAAAGAUUUAUCGGUUAUGGAUGGGGAUGCGUCUGAUUAGCUUGUUGGCGGGGUAACGGCCCACCAAGGCGACGAUCAGUAGGGGUUCUGAGAGGAAGGUCCCCCACAUUGGAACUGAGACACGGUCCAAACUCCUACGGGAGGCAGCAGUGAGGAAUAUUGGUCAAUGGGCGAGAGCCUGAACCAGCCAAGUAGCGUGCAGGAUGACGGCCCUAUGGGUUGUAAACUGCUUUUGUAUGGGGAUAAAGUCAAUCACGUGUGAUUGUUUGCAGGUACCAUACGAAUAAGGACCGACUAAUUCCGUGCCAGCAGCCGCGGUAAUACGGAAGGUCCGGGCGUUAUCCGGAUUUAUUGGGUUUAAAGGGAGCGUAGGCUGGAGAUUAAGUGUGUUGUGAAAUGUAGACGCUCAACGUCUGACUUGCAGCGCAUACUGGUUUCCUUGAGUACGCACAACGUUGGCGGAAUUCGUCGUGUAGCGGUGAAAUGCUUAGAUAUGACGAAGAACUCCGAUUGCGAAGGCAGCUGACGGGAGCGCAACUGACGCUGAAGCUCGAAGGUGCGGGUAUCGAACAGGAUUAGAUACCCUGGUAGUCCGCACAGUAAACGAUGGAUGCCCGCUGUUGGUACCUGGUAUCAGCGGCUAAGCGGAAGCAUUAAGCAUCCCACCUGGGGAGUACGCCGGCAACGGUGAAACUCAAAGGAAUUGACGGGGGCCCGCACAAGCGGAGG